UCGAGUGAUUAUAUCCGAAACGACAACUGCUGUGCGCUAUUUGUCAUCAACUGCAUUCUUCGUCGUAUCACCAGUUUGCAAUCAUGGUAAACUAUGGCGUCGUGCUGCUGUUGAUUGUUGUUUUUUAAAAACCACACCAUCGAGGCUCCAGAAUAUUACACUACAACUUAUGCUGCCCCGAAUUGUAUCACCAAGGUCCCGAGUGCUACACCAUGGCUCCCAAGUACUACACCACCAAGUCACCGAAGUACUAUACGACUACGUAUGCUACCCCACCUGCUGAACCGCGACUCCCAAGUAUCACUCUGCUUCAGUUACUAUACCGAGGCUCCAACUUACUAUACCACCAAAACUGCUGAAUGCUAUACCGAAGUGCUAAAUACUACACCACUAAGGCUACAGAAUAUUACACCACAACUUAUGCUGCCCGAGCUACUACUCCGCAGCCCAGAUUUAUUAUUCUGCACCGAGCCCGAUUACUUCGCUAAGGCCCUGGAGUACUACA
Long non-coding RNA from Daphnia pulicaria, 505 nucleotides. RefSeq lists it as uncharacterized. NCBI's taxonomy places the organism in Eukaryota, Metazoa, Arthropoda, Branchiopoda, Diplostraca, Daphniidae. The transcript is spliced from 2 exons. The record is from RefSeq and is a predicted model, not a curated record.